UUUUACAGGAUGAUGAGUCCAGUACCGGUCGAAAUUUGACAUCUGCUUCCAAAUUUUCGAAAUUCGGAAAGCAACUCAUAAUCUGCCGGUGAUCCCGGAACGUUAUCGGUAUCGAAAACUGGUCGUUUGGAAUCGGAGGAAUCAGUCGGCUUCAUACAUCGCAUCGAACCUUUCCGCAAUCUCUUUGGCCUUGGGGCUGGAGUGGUCCAACUCAAAGUGGUAUCACGGAUUUCUGUUUCUAUUUUUGAUUCAUUUCAUAACAUUGGUGCACUAGUCACAUUCUGGUGAAGCGAGCGAUACUCUGGAUGAUGCUCUUCUAGAUGUCGUGGAAAACGUCACGAGAGUCAUACAACACAGCGAUACAAAGGUACACAGUUUGAUCUGUGACUCGGAGAUGUCGUCGACUCAAUGCAUUCCGUUGACACUAGCAUUGUUAAGAAAUUGACAUAUAAAACUUUUCAAAUUGUGGAAAGCAAUGGCAUGUGGCGCAAUUGGCUGACAAAAAGUGAAAGAAAGAUUUAAUGAUAAAUGCAACUAGUGAAAUAAAUAUUUAAUGAGGAAUUUCGUAAAAUUUAAUUUGAUUUGAAUUAGAUGAAUUUGAUUUCGUAGGAUUUAAAGAAUAAGCAUCUUUGCGUUGUCCCUGUGGAAAAGGGGGCGAAUAAGAAGACAAAGUAUAAAAGUAAUGAAUAUACUGGUAAUUUCUCUAUGAAUGAAAUAAUCAUGUCGACGCAUUUGUAUCGCAAGAUCACGUGAGCGUGUACCCUUAACUUGAUAAUAUAUUUACGUGACAGUUUA
This is a long non-coding RNA of Venturia canescens, 795 nucleotides long. RefSeq lists it as uncharacterized. The transcript is spliced from 2 exons. The record is from RefSeq and is a predicted model, not a curated record. Lineage: Eukaryota; Metazoa; Arthropoda; Insecta; Hymenoptera; Ichneumonidae.